RNAcentral lists this long non-coding RNA (338 nucleotides) under Ananas comosus (pineapple). RNAcentral's name for it is "long non-coding RNA (ACOM_LNC037379)". Lineage: Eukaryota; Viridiplantae; Streptophyta; Magnoliopsida; Poales; Bromeliaceae. The record is from RNAcentral.
AAUGUUUAUAUUUUGGAAGAUGUAAGCUUUAUAUUAUGUUUAGAAGCUUAAUGUAUAAUCAAGUGUAUUAUGAAGGCUGAAUGAAUGUAAUAGAUAGAUGUUCCUCUCUUUAUCAUUACUUGUAUGUUCUAUACUUGUAUCUUGCUCUUAGUCGUUUAGCACUGAUUGUGCUCUCGUUGUAGUUGUCGAUUGUGUAUGUAUUCAAGUUAUUUUCCUGGGAACUUGUUGUACACAAUCUCGUUGUUAGCCUUGGGCGGAUAGGGGAGGUGCUGUCCGUCCGGCGUCUGUUCGACGCGCCCGGGCCGAGCCAAAUUGGUAGCGGUCGCGGGGCGUGACAG